This 470-nucleotide ribosomal RNA is filed under the name Microdevario kubotai. RNAcentral's name for it is "partial 16S ribosomal RNA". It matches the Rfam family "Bacterial large subunit ribosomal RNA", at positions 1924 to 2541 of the family's 2925-position model. The record is from RNAcentral. Lineage: Eukaryota; Metazoa; Chordata; Actinopteri; Cypriniformes; Danionidae.
UUCACGGCCGCGGUAUUUUGACCGUGCUAAGGUAGCGCAAUCACUCGUCCCUUAAAUAGGGACCAGUAUGAAUGGCUAGACGAGGGCUUAGCUGUCUCCCUUUUCAGGUCAGUGAAAUUGAUCUAUCCGUGCAGAAGCGGGUAUAAAUAUACAAGACGAGAAGACCCUUUGGAGCUUAAGGUACAAAACUUAAUCACGUAAAACAAUGCAACAAAACAUAAAAACAUAGUGAAAAUAAAAUUUUACCUUCGGUUGGGGCGACCACGGAGGAAAGAAAAGCCUCCAAGCAGACUGGGAAUAGCUAUUUCCUACAAUUGAGAGAAACAUCUCUAAGUCACAGAACUUCUGACUGAACAUGACCCAGCCACUAAGGCUGAUAAACGAACCAAGUUACCCUAGGGAUAACAGCGCAAUCCUCUCCAAGAGACCAUAUCGACGAGGGGGUUUACGACCUCGAUGUUUGGAUCAGG